CUCACUAUAUACGCUUCUAUCAUCUCAUUAUUUCUGUGACGAGAGAAGUGAAAAACCUGUUUUGAAGAAGAAAUAGAGAAAAAUGGGUGGAGGAAUGGAAGCUAACAAGAACAAGUGGAUCGAGGAUUGGGGGGCGGCUAGGGAGAAUCUGGAGCACAACUUCAGGUGGAACCGCCGCAACUUCGCCCUCGUUGGCCUCUUCGGAGUCGCCCUACCUAUCUUGAUCUACAAGGGCAUCGUCAAAGAAUUCCAUAUGCAAGAUGAAGAUUGGGGCAGACCACACAGGAAAUUCUUGUGAGUCUCUCUGUCCGGAGCAUUAUGUAAUAAUUUUGGGAGAACUGGAAGUGAUUUUAUUUCAGAUCCUAUCAACUGGUUGAAUUUUGAGUUUAUUAACUUUUAAUAAUCUUAACUUGGUUUCAAAGCCUGGCUGUGCUUGACUAUCUUAGCUUCAAUUCUUUUAUAUUACAAGUACACUGUAUUUAAACUUGCUUAAUAUCUCUACCUUCUAGUUGUGUGCUCUCUCUCAUA
This is a long non-coding RNA of Ipomoea nil (Japanese morning glory), 528 nucleotides long. RefSeq lists it as uncharacterized. Lineage: Eukaryota; Viridiplantae; Streptophyta; Magnoliopsida; Solanales; Convolvulaceae. The record is from RefSeq and is a predicted model, not a curated record. The transcript has 2 exons.